Hypanus sabinus (Atlantic stingray) is the source of this 603-nucleotide long non-coding RNA. RefSeq lists it as uncharacterized. The transcript is spliced from 3 exons. NCBI's taxonomy places the organism in Eukaryota, Metazoa, Chordata, Chondrichthyes, Myliobatiformes, Dasyatidae. The record is from RefSeq and is a predicted model, not a curated record.
UCUCCUGCCACGUAAUGUCAACGGAAGGGCUUGCCAUAGCAAUACCGUUGCACCUAAACUCUUUGGCUCAAUACUUCUGAAGGAGGCAUUCAGGAAGCAUUUUUGUGAGUUAAAAGGAAGGUAACUGACAUGCAGGCUGAUAUAUCGUCUGUACAGUACGGAACGUGGCUGGAUGGAACUAGAGUAUAUUGUCUGAAUGGUGAAAGGUUAACAUUUUUGCAAGAGGAAACAAAUAGUCCAUGAGUCCAUAUGAGAUCAAGGAGCCCCAUCAUCCAGGCCAUGCUCUCUUCUUGCUGCUACCAUCAGGAAGGAGAUACAGAAGCCUCGGGUCCCACACCACCAGGUUUGGGAAUAGGUAUUACCCUACAACCAUCCAGCUCCUGAACCAGAGAGGAUAAGUUCACUCACUUCAACACUGAACUGAUCACUUUCAAGGUCUCUGCAACUCAUGUUCUCAGUUUUCUUUUAUCUUUUUUUAAUACUUGCUUUUUUUUUGAAUGUGCACAUUUUUUCAGUCUUUGUGUGUAAUUUUUCAUUGAUUUUAUUGCACUGUUUUGUUCUACAAUGAAAGCCUGCAAGAAAAUGAAUCCUUUUGUUGUAUCU